GGCGGUCCAGAUCCUGGGCCUCUCCCACUCUGCAGCGGGGAGGAGGGGUCGGCGGGGAGUAGAGACGGGUCGCCCCCGCUCGAGCCCUUCCCCGUCUUUCUGCCGCCGGAGUGGACCAGCAGACAGUGUGGGAGAGCGCUGGGAAGGAAGGUUGGCGGAGUUAUACUCCAGACGGACGGGUUCAGGCCCCGCGCGCCACACUCGGCCACACUUGGCGUGUAGUGUGGACCCGGUGGGCCUCUGCCCUCGCCACCGGCUGACUUCUCUGUCCAGCCGCUAGGUCGACCAGAUGUCAGCCCCAAGGUCCUGCCUACAGAGACCUUGUGACAUAUCCCUGCACCCAUAACACAGGAGGGGAUUGUAGCAUAUUCCCAAUGGAGCACCAAGGUGAUGUGACACUGCUGCCUGGUCCCUGCCCUCAGAGAAGAUUGUGACAUAUCACUGCCCCAAAACCCAGGUGUGAUUGUGACAUACACCUCUGCCCAGGACCUGAGUGAUUUGACUCUUCUGCUUGGGCCCAGCAUACAGAUGGGAUUGUGCCACAUUGCUGGACCCAGCACUUAGGUGAUGAGAUAAUUGUAACAAAUCCCUGGCUAAGCACCCAGGUGAUGUGACACUCCUGCUUGACUCCUUCCCUCAGAGAAGAUUAUGAGAUAUCCAUGGCUGAAAUCCAGGGGGAAUUGUGACAUAUCACUUGGUCCAGUACCAAGCAAGUGUGACUCUUCUAUUCAUCAUAAGUUCUGCUUUCAAGGGAGAUUGGGACAUAUUGUGGGACUCAACACCAAUGUGACAUUACUGUUUUGCCUUGGCCCAGACCUUAAAGGCACUGUGACAUAUUGCUCGGACCAGCAAUAUGUCUCUCCCAGAGAGAGGUCCUGUGUGGACACUGACAACAGAGAGCAUUGUGACAUAUCUUUGGGAGCAUCAACUAUUUGAUGUGACUCUCCUUUUAUACCAAGGUUUUGCUUAUAGGGGAGAUCGUGAUGUAUCUUUUGGCCCAGAAAUCAGGUGAUGUGUUUCUCCUGCCUGAGCUUUGCUCACAGGGAGCAUUGUGACAUAUCACUGGGCCCAGCACCCAGGUGAUGGGACUCUACUGCCUGUCCCCUGCUUUUAGGAGGAAAUUGUAACAUAUCUCUGACCAAGCACCCAGGUGAUAACUCUUCUGCCUGGUCCCUGUUCUCAGGGAAGAUUGUGACACAUCCCUGGCCCAGCACCCAGAUGAUGCAGAUGAUAUAACUCUCCUUCCUGCUCAUUCUCUAUCCACAGGUUCUGCCCACAAAGGAGAUUGUGACAUACUGCUGUGCCUAACACUAAGGUGAUGUUAAUUCUCUGCUUUGACUAUGUCCUUAGAAGGCAUUGAGACACACUGCUGGGCCCAGCACCAAGAUGAUGUGAGUCCUGUGCCUGAACCCUGACCAGAGGUAGCAUUGUGACAUAUUUAUUGACCCAUUGCAAUCUCUCCUAUGGACAAAGCCCAGGUUGGAUUGUGACAUAUACUUUAGCCCAGCUCACAGUUGUGAUGAUGACACUAAUACCACAAAUCAGCCAGUAGGAGAGAUACUGGCACUUGUAGCUAAACUUAGAGAAACAGGUUAUGCAACUCUCCUUGCUGGGUCCUGCCUACAGGAGGCAUUAUGAUCUAUCUGUGUAUCCAUCAUCCAGGUGUUAUGACUCUCAUCUUUUCACUGGAACCUGCCAAGAAGGGUGAUUGUGACAUAUCACUGGACCCAGCACCUUGGUGAUGUGACUCUCCUCUCCUCUUGGGCCCUGCAUACAUUGUGUCUAUGGAAAUAUAGCUGGUCCAACACCUAGAUUGAUGACAAUCAGAUUCACUUAGAGUGGAAAAAAUAUGUUGGCCCUUAUAAAAUAGUCAUUAGAAGGCCUAUUGCAUAAUAGAACCUCAUGUGUCUUCUGUUACUAAAGUCUAACAUUACUAAAUUCAACAAGGCUUUAAUGCAUUAUGGCAAAGCACAUUUUCACCAGGUGAAGAAAGCCUUUACUAGUCUACUGACUGAGGAGAGUAAAACCCUUUAUAAUCAAGGAUCCAGAGAUUGAAUCUGCCUGCCACCUACACUGACGCAAGACUUCAAGACCUUGAACAUUGGAUUGAUAAUCUCACAACUUAGAAGGGCUCCUCCAAACUCUUGCAAUUGUAAACCCAUAGGAGAUUUGAAGGUAAAGCUAACCAGGGAAGUUUGUCCUCAAAAGCAGAUGGCCGUCUCCAUGUAGAUAGCUUUUUUCACAAGAUCAAAAAUCAAGACAUCUCGUUAUCAUGACAGUGUUAGUUCACAGUUUGUUUAUGGUUCUACAAACAACAGAAAUUUUAAAAAGUGGUCUCGUGUGCACUCAUGGGGUUAUACUUAUAUGUAGAGAAUUUUGCAGCCAACAUUAUAUAUGAGGAAACUUAUUCCUUGAAAGGUAAAAGAAGAAGGGCCAAUGUAGGUGAGAAGUUUUAAUGAAACAGUUGUUUUCUCACAAUAUUAAAAACAGAAUAUUGGUCCACUGCUCUUAACCUAUUUCAUAAGUUAAAAAGAACUUAUUCAGAAUAGGUUAAAGAGCGUUGCCAGGAGGCCAUUACUCUUCUGAAUGGUUAUCAUUGUUUAGAGUAAAUGAGGCAACGGUUACAAAAUGUAUCCCUCUCAAUAGGGCUCUUUAGCAGAUUAUACCAUAAAGGCUAUGCUUACACAAUAGACUUUAAAUUUUCUCACAAAGUUGUGCUAAAUAUAAUUUCUUUUGAUUACUUACUGGAUAAAUAGAUAUCUGUGCAGUUGCUAAUAGUUGCCCAUGGAGAACUACAGCAGGUAUUACAGAGAUGCAGUUGUAGAUGAUUCAUGAACAGGCUAAUUAGAUGAAAUGAGUAGGCCAUUUUUCUAGCUAAUUAUUUGAUCUAUUUAAUUUUAACUGGUUGUUCAUGGGGACCCUGGCUAAAAAGCAUGCUUCAAACUCUUGGUAUUAUCCUCCUGAUAGUCAAAAUGGUAAUCUUCCUACUGUACUGUGUUCUCUCAACAGAUAUAAACGUUUGAAUGUAGUCAUCUGUAGAAUGUCAAAUGGUCUCUCUUUAACUGGAAUGACAGAAACUCAAAGACAUAUGUGACUAUGAAGACACCACAACCUAUGAAUGACAUGCUAAGGACAAAAAACAAAAAUAAUGGAAACUGAGAGUUGCACUAAAGCCCCGAGUUUUGGUCACACUGUGACCUACGUAAGAACUUAACCAAAUGGGGAAUUUUUUAAAGAAAACUAUUGGAGGCCAUAAUUCUGGACUGAUCUUAUGCACUAGGUCCAAACAAACCAAACCAAAAUGAGUCACUCAUGCUAGAUGUGACAUAAUUAAACUAAAAAUUUAAGGCAAUAGGUAGAUUCUAAAACUGGCCAGGUUUUGUUUUUCUUCUGUAAAUAGCAGAUUUCAACACAAGGAGGUCCCCUGUACUCUAACGCUUUAAAAAACAAAUAAAAAUAAUUUCAAAAUAAUAAGCUGAAGUUUUUAUUUCCACUUUACAAACCCACAGUUCUGCUAUUUCAUAGUGGGAUUUGAGUCUAAAUAAGUACAUUUUUGAUGGUGACAAAAUGAUAUUAAUGUCUAAAGUUUUGGUCUCAAACUUGAGAAGAUGACAAAAGGGAGAAAUUGUUAAAUUAGUUAUAGCCUAAAGCUUCCCUGUUAUGUUUAAUUUUGGCUAAUAGGAUUUGUUUUUUGUUUUUUUUUGGUUUUUUUUGCAUAGUAAACUUAAUAUUCAAAUAGGACAAAUCUUAAGCUGUAAUAAAUCUGGCUGUUUCUGUACCUCA
Molecule: long non-coding RNA, 3783 nt
Filed under: Pongo abelii (Sumatran orangutan)
Lineage: Eukaryota; Metazoa; Chordata; Mammalia; Primates; Hominidae
Description: lincRNA
Source: RNAcentral